Molecule: long non-coding RNA, 804 nt
Organism: Culex quinquefasciatus (southern house mosquito)
Lineage: Eukaryota; Metazoa; Arthropoda; Insecta; Diptera; Culicidae
Exons: 2
Source: RefSeq, a predicted model, not a curated record
UACCACAUGCUCGUCUGUAUCAGAGGGUCCAAAAAUCUGUCUUAUCUGCACCAAGCAUGGCGAAUAUCUGUACUAUUAUCUGUACGGUAUAUUUUUUGUAAAAAACUUUUUUUUAACAUGCAUUUUGAACAAUCUUAUGACAACACUAAACGCUGAUAUGCAGCUCGGAAGGAACGCAAAACUCCAUAUAAAAAACAACCAAGAAACGGCCAAGGAAAGACGUUUCUUCGCGUGCCCGGUCACGAAAAUUUCUAGCAGAGCUGGUUCAGUAUGAAUCCUGCUAGAAUUAUUCUAGCAGGCCUGCCAGAACUCUGUUAGAAUUUUGCUAGAAAAUUCUGACAGACAUAAUUUGUCAAAAAUGACGUCAUUUUCGCCUAACCGUUUUGUGGCGAAUGUGAAUACCGCCAUCUUGUCAAUUUUCUCUUUUAUUUCUGUUUCUUUUGGAGGAGGACGACGCAUUUUCUGCACCGUCAACUUUGGAAUCAGAUACAGGCAGUUCAUCCGUUGAAUGCUUGGCAUGACAACAUAUUCCAGCUCGCUGACCAUGUUGCCCGGAAAAUUUGGACGACAACACGGGUUGCAUCUCAGAAAACGGAAAAUUGCAAAUGUUUUACGACGCCAAGUACAACGCAACCCCCCUCGAUCGUUUCCAGAAAAAAAGUUCCUGAGUGAAAGUUAAUUUAGAAAAGUGUGUGUUUUUUGUUUAUAGUUGUUGCGAGUAUCGUGUGUAUUGAAUAAAUAUAUUUUUUUAUUUUGCUUCAAUUUGCUAGAAAAAUCUAGCAAACCUUCUCAAGAAACCUUUAA